CCGUGAGCGGGUCUAUCUGCAGUCGAACGAAGCUUUCUUUCCCGAAUGCUUGCAUUCACCGAAAGAAGCUUAGUGGCGAACGGGUGAGUAACACGUAGGCAACCUGCCCAAAAGAGGGGGAUAACACUUGGAAACAGGUGCUAAUACCGCAUAACCAUGAACAUCGCAUGAUGUUCAUGUAAAAGACGGCUUUUGCUGUCACUUUUGGAUGGGCCUGCGGCGUAUUAACUUGUUGGUGGGGUAACGGCCUACCAAGGUGAUGAUACGUAGCCGAACUGAGAGGUUGAUCGGCCACAUUGGGACUGAGACACGGCCCAAACUCCUACGGGAGGCAGCAGUAGGGAAUCUUCCACAAUGGACGAAAGUCUGAUGGAGCAACGCCGCGUGAAUGAAGAAGGCCUUCGGGUCGUAAAAUUCUGUUGUCAGAGAAGAACAUGCGUGAGAGUAACUGUUCACGUAUUGACGGUAUCUGACCAGAAAGCCACGGCUAACUACGUGCCAGCAGCCGCGGUAAUACGUAGGUGGCGAGCGUUGUCCGGAUUUAUUGGGCGUAAAGGGAACGCAGGCGGUCUUUUAAGUCUGAUGUGAAAGCCUUCGGCUUAACCGAAGUAGUGCAUUGGAAACUGGAAGACUUGAGUGCAGAAGAGGAGAGUGGAACUCCAUGUGUAGCGGUGAAAUGCGUAGAUAUAUGGAAGAACACCAGUGGCGAAAGCGGCUCUCUGGUCUGUAACUGACGCUGAGGUUCGAAAGCGUGGGUAGCAAACAGGAUUAGAUACCCUGGGUAGUCCAAAA
Molecule: ribosomal RNA, 792 nt
Filed under: Ligilactobacillus ruminis
Lineage: Bacteria; Bacillati; Bacillota; Bacilli; Lactobacillales; Lactobacillaceae
Description: bacterial SSU rRNA
Rfam family: Bacterial small subunit ribosomal RNA
Source: RNAcentral